RNAcentral lists this unclassified non-coding RNA (403 nucleotides) under soil metagenome. Its description in RNAcentral is "partial contains 5.8S ribosomal RNA, internal transcribed spacer 2, and large subunit ribosomal RNA". The stretch from base 1 to 121 matches the Rfam family "5.8S ribosomal RNA", at positions 35 to 154 of the family's 154-position model. The record is from RNAcentral.
GAUGAAGAACGCAGCGAAAUGCGAUAAGUAAUGUGAAUAGCAGAAUUCAGUGAAUCAUCGAAUCUUUGAACGCACCUUGCGCCCUUUGGCUAUUCCGAAGGGCAUGCCUGUUUGAGUAUCAUGAACACCUCAACUCUCAUGGCUUGCCAUGAUGAGCUUGGACUUUUGGGGGUCUUGCUGGCCUGUGGUCAGCUCCUCUCAAAUGAAUUAGCCUGCCAGUGUUUGGUGGCAUCACAGGUGUGAUAACUAUCUACGCUUGUGGUUUUCCACCAGGUAACCUUCAGUGAUGAAGGUUCGCUGGGGCUCAUAAACGUCUCUCCUCAGUGAGGACAGCUCUUUGAACGUUUGAUCUCAAAUCAGGUAGGACUACCCGCUGAACUUAAGCAUAUCAAUAAGCGGAGGA